RNAcentral lists this ribosomal RNA (459 nucleotides) under uncultured bacterium. RNAcentral describes it as "partial 16S ribosomal RNA". It matches the Rfam family "Bacterial small subunit ribosomal RNA", at positions 338 to 795 of the family's 1533-position model. The record is from RNAcentral.
CCUACGGGAGGCAGCAGUGAGGAAUAUUGGUCAAUGGACGAGAGUCUGAACCAGCCAAGUAGCGUGAAGGAUGACUGCCCUAUGGGUUGUAAACUUCUUUUAUAAAGGAAUAAAACGAGGCACGUGUGCCUUUUUGCAUGUACUGUAUGAAUAAGGAUCGGCUAACUCCGUGCCAGCAGCCGCGGUAAUACGGAGGAUGCGAGCGUUAUCCGGAUUUAUUGGGUUUAAAGGGUGCGUAGGCGGCUUAUUAAGUCAGAGGUAAAAUCGUGGGGCUCAACCCCAGCCAGCCGUUGAAACUGGGCGUCUAGAGUGUACGAGAGGUAUGCGGAAUGCGUGGUGUAGCGGUGAAAUGCAUAGAUAUCACGCAGAACCCCGAUUGCGAAGGCAGCAUACCGGUCCACAACUGACGCUGAGGCACGAAAGCGUGGGUAUCAAACAGGAUUAGAUACCCUGGUAGUC